Molecule: ribosomal RNA, 478 nt
Filed under: uncultured bacterium
Lineage: Bacteria
Description: partial 16S ribosomal RNA
Rfam family: Bacterial small subunit ribosomal RNA
Source: RNAcentral
GACGAACGCUGGCGGCGUGCUUAACACAUGCAAGUCGAACGGUAAGGCCCUUCGGGGUACACGAGUGGCGAACGGGUGAGUAACACGUGGGUGAUCUGCCCUGCACUUCGGGAUAAGCCUGGGAAACUGGGUCUAAUACCGGAUAGGACCCUGGGAUGCAUGUCCUGGGGUGGAAAGCUUUUGCGGUGUGGGAUGGGCCCGCGGCCUAUCAGCUUGUUGGUGGGGUGAUGGCCUACCAAGGCGACGACGGGUAGCCGGCCUGAGAGGGUGACCGGCCACACUGGGACUGAGAUACGGCACAGACUCCUACGGGAGGCAGCAGUGGGGAAUAUUGCACACUGGGCGCAAGCCUGAUGCAGCGACGCCGCGUGAGGGAUGACGGCCUUCGGGUUGUAAACCUCUUUCAGCACCGACGAAGCGCAAGUGACGGUAGGUGCAGAAGAAGGACCGGCCAACUACGUGCCAGCAGCCGCGGUAA